This 193-nucleotide unclassified non-coding RNA is filed under the name Ascomycota sp. RNAcentral describes it as "partial contains small subunit ribosomal RNA, internal transcribed spacer 1, and 5.8S ribosomal RNA". The stretch from base 1 to 47 matches the Rfam family "Eukaryotic small subunit ribosomal RNA", at positions 1785 to 1831 of the family's 1831-position model. The record is from RNAcentral. Lineage: Eukaryota; Fungi; Ascomycota.
AAAGUCGUAACAAGGUCUCCGUAGGUGAACCUGCGGAGGGAUCAUUACUGAAUGGCCUCUGGCCUUUGUACCUUGAAAACCUGUGGAAGCAAAAUGUGCUUCGGCGCUUCGGCGUCGCUUUUAUGCUGAAAUUUGUUUGUGUCUGAAUCGAACAAAAAAUUUAAAACUUUCAACAAAGGAUCUCUUGGCUCUC